AGUGAACGCUGGCGGUAGGCCUAACACAUGCAAGUCGAACGGCAGCACAGUAAGAGCUUGCUCUUACGGUUGGCGAGUGGCGGACGGGUGAGGAAUACAUCGGAAUCUACUUUUUCGUGGGGGAUAACGUAGGGAAACUUACGCUAAUACCGCAUACUACCUACGGGUGAAAGCAGGGGAUCUUCGGACCUUGCGCGAUUGAAUGAGCCGAUGUCGGAUUAGCUAGUUGGCGUGGUAAAGGCCCACCAAGGCGACGAUGCGUAGCUGGUCUGAGAGGAUGAUCAGCCACACUGGAACUGAGACACGGUCCAGACUCCUACGGGAGGCAGCAGUGGGGAAUAUUGGACAAUGGGCGAAAGCCUGAUGUAGCCAUACCGCGUGAGUGAAGAAGGCCUUCGGGUUGUAAAGCCCUGUUGUUGGGAAAGAAAAGCAGCAGGUUAAUACCCCGCUGUUCUGACGGUACCCAAAGAAUAAGCACCGGCUAACUUCGUG
Molecule: ribosomal RNA, 492 nt
Filed under: uncultured bacterium
Lineage: Bacteria
Description: partial 16S ribosomal RNA
Rfam family: Bacterial small subunit ribosomal RNA
Source: RNAcentral